This is a long non-coding RNA of Suricata suricatta (meerkat), 1307 nucleotides long. RefSeq lists it as uncharacterized. NCBI's taxonomy places the organism in Eukaryota, Metazoa, Chordata, Mammalia, Carnivora, Herpestidae. The record is from RefSeq and is a predicted model, not a curated record. The transcript is spliced from 4 exons.
GUGAUUAGAGGGUUGAAUCUUUCAGCUCUGCCCACCGACCUCUGGGAAAGGGUUGAGGCUAGAAGCAAAGCUAUAUCAGAUUUCUUAAACAAGUCAAUUUUUUAGGCCAAUAUUUAAUUUUUAACUUUAAGGUGCAAAUAAAUAGAAAGGGAAAACUACAUUGACAACAGCUGCUAAGGAAGUACAAGAGCCAGAACAGAAAUUCUUCAAAAACAGAAGAGACGGUCCCUAGAAGCUUGCAGGGUGGUGUUCCGUGGGUCUGGCCCGCACCCCAGGCCCACGCAGAGACGCAGAAGGGGCCACUGGCCCCGAGGAGGAUGGCUGCCAGCAGGGUCUGGUUCAGGAAUUCCGACUGGAUGAUGCCCACCACAUUGAGGAAGACCCUCUGCUUUACUCAGUUCACCAAAUGCUGAUCUCCUGGAAACACCCUCGCAGACACACCCAGAAAAUAGUGUUUUCCCAGCUGUCUGGGUGUCCCAUAGCCCAGUCCAGUUGACACAUAAAAAUCAACCAUUGUAACCAGUGUGAACCGGUUUCUGUUGCUUGUUCUGGAUGAUACACUCCCCAGCUUUGGCUGGGGGACAAUGUGAGGUCCCUGGGACCUUCUCCAGCCUAGUGGAGCCCGGAGAUGUAGCCACUCACCCUGUCUCUGAGGCCCUGGGCUUCAGAUGAACGGAGCCUCUGUCUGCAUAGUGGGAAGUUGAGGCAGGCAGAGAAUGCUCAAAACACCUGCUACUUACACCCGCCCACCCAGGCAGCCUGUAACAUGGAGAUUUUGCAAUGAUAGAGAGUGAAAGCAGAAUUCAAAAAUAAACUCCGUUAGCUUCUUUCUCAAACUCUGUGGAUAUCCAGGAUGUGCUAAAUGUGUAAAGCAGAGUACCACAUCCUCCAACCUCUCCAGGGACCAAGGGUUCUAAGGUCAUGCAUUUGGACAAGUACCCAUUUCUUACAUUUGAUGAAACUUACCCCAAGGCAUUGGGGAAAAUAAAAUGAAGACCUACACAUCAGAAUGGACCAUGUCAGGAAUGUCAACAGUCCAGCUACAAACCCAGGUCACCCACUGAAAAGGAAUGAAGGUAAACUGCUUUGUUCAAUCAGAAAUCUCGGCAAGAACAAUUUCAAACCAUACUGACAAUAAAUUACCAACAGUCUGCUGUUAAGGAUUUCAAGAUGGCUGCUGCGCCUCUGUGCAUCACAUCUGUGUUCCAGACAAAUACAGGGGGAGGUAUAGAAGGCUGAUGAAGACCAGUUGUCUGUCUCUAAAAAAAAAAAAAAAAGAAAAGAAAAGAAAAGAAAAAAAAAACCCA